Molecule: ribosomal RNA, 440 nt
Filed under: uncultured bacterium
Lineage: Bacteria
Description: partial 16S ribosomal RNA
Rfam family: Bacterial small subunit ribosomal RNA
Source: RNAcentral
CCUACGGGUGGCAGCAGUGGGGAAUAUUGCACAAUGGGGGAAACCCUGAUGCAGCGACGCCGCGUGAGUGAAGAAGGAAUUCGUUACGUAAAGCUCUAUCUGCAGGGAAGUAAAUGACGGUACCUGAGUAAGAAGCCCCGGCUAACUACGUUCCAGCAGCGGCAGUAAUACGUAGGGUGCAAGCGUUAUCCGGAUUUACUGGGUGUAAAGGGAGCGUAGACGGUGCGUUAAGUCUGGAGUGAAAUGCCGCAGCUUAACGGUGGAACUGCUGUGGAAACUGGCGAACUAGAGUGCGUGAGGGGUAGGCGGAAUUCGUGGUGUAGCGGUGAAAUGCGUAGAUAUUAGGAGGAACACCGGUUGCGAAGGCGGCUUACUGGACCGUAACUGACGUUGAGGCUCGAAAGCGUGGGGAGCAAACAGGAUUAGAUACCCCUGUAGUC